GAGUGGCGAACGGGUGAGUAAUGCAUCGGAACGUGCCCAUCGAUGGGGGAUAACUGCGCGAAAGCGUUGCUAAUACCGCAUACGACCUACGGGUGAAAGCAGGGGACCNCAAGGCCUUGCGUCGAUGGAGCGGCCGAUGCCGGAUUAGCUAGUUGGUGAGGUAAAGGCUCACCAAGGCGACGAUCCGUAGCUGGUCUGAGAGGACGACCCAGCCACACUGGGACUGAGACACGGCCCAGACUCCUACGGGAGGCAGCAGUGGGGAAUCUUGGACAAUGGGCGAAAGCCUGAUCCAGCAAUGCCGCGUGUGGGAAGAAGGCCUUCGGGUUGUAAACCACUUUUGGCGGGAAAGAAAUGGUCUGUGCUAAUACCACGGAUUGAUGACGGUACCCGCAGAAUAAGCACCGGCUAACUACGUG
RNAcentral lists this ribosomal RNA (419 nucleotides) under uncultured bacterium. RNAcentral's name for it is "bacterial SSU rRNA". It matches the Rfam family "Bacterial small subunit ribosomal RNA", at positions 93 to 507 of the family's 1533-position model. The record is from RNAcentral.